Non-coding RNA from Pelobates cultripes (western spadefoot toad), 418 nucleotides. The record is from the annotation of a GenBank genome assembly. NCBI's taxonomy places the organism in Eukaryota, Metazoa, Chordata, Amphibia, Anura, Pelobatidae.
UGGAUGUCCAAUCAUCAACUUCCUAAUGUAGCUUAAUAAGAGGUUUUUGCAAGGUAGGUGGUGUAGGCUAUUUACUACCUUUUGAGUUUAGCUCCACUCCGGGCCGCCAUCAGGGGGUGACAACCAUGACUGUUGUCACGGGCCCGGCAGCCCCACGUGUAGCAGCGGAACUGCCGCCGGUGCAGUUGCACCGGGGCCCGCACGCUGUUGGGGCCUAUCGGGUGACCUAUGCACUUAGGGCCACCCGAUGGGCCCUAUAUCUUCACAAAUACAAAUACCAAGCUCACUUAUCUGUAUGGAUCAUUUUGACUCCCACGCUUUCAGGGGUCUGCCAUACUUAUCCAUUCAUUCAAAUGGACUCAGCCUACAUUACAGGCCUCAUUUCUAUGUUAUAACUACAACACAUAUAUAAGGAUAC